CAAAUGGGUGUAGAACCUUCUUGGGACUGCUGAAAGGACUGUGUUGUAGACAGGAGACAGCUGGUGCUGUUGAGAGGCAGCUGUUCAAUUUUAACAUAGGUGGCUUUUUUGAUCCCUCUUUCAAACUAAUGGUCUUCUCCGUCCAAAAUGUGAACUUUGCGGUUUUCAAAAAAUGGUGUGUGUGUGUGUGUGUGUGAGAGAGAGAGAGAGAGAGAGAGAGAGAGAGAGAGAGAGAGAAAAAGAGAGAGAGAGAGAGUAUAGAAAAGCCAAUUUAAAGACAGAUACAGAAUAGAUAGAUAGAUAGAUAGAUAGAUAGAUAGAUAGAUAGAUAGAUAAUAGAUAGAUUGAUGGAUUGAUGGAUACAUACGUAUCAAACUAAAAUUACACAGCUUGCUUCAAUUUUUUCCAAGCUGUGGUUUACUGUUUAAACAAUGGCUGAGUCUAGAACAUAACAAGCCACAUUGCCCAGUCUUGUCAGUCUGUUCCUUCAGGAACUGAAAGUUGACCAGUUUCAUUCACUGAAUCUGAUAAAGUCUCAAAAAUGGAAAAAAAUCAAACUGAUAUAAUCUUUCAACUCUACUUGGAAAUAUGUCCAAGGAACUCAAUUCACUUUUCAGAAAUGCUUAGGACUAUGAGUCUGGCACAUAACAGAAUUGCAAUGAAUAUUGUAAGGUAGUAAUGGCUAGUUUAAACCAAGGCAUUUACGUGGGACUCACUUCAGUUAAAUAGAGAUUUAGCACAAACUUCCAGUUUUUCUUGUUGCCCUGAGUCACCCUAUAAUGACAUGUUUUCUGGAAAGCAGACCAAAAACGUUUUGACAUUCUGCUUCUCUCUGCAUGGAAUAACUUGCAUACUAAUGGCACACUGGAAGGUAAUCAUAAUUAUAUUUUCUCAUCUAAAAUGUUAUGAUCAUUCUUUUUGGAAGAAACUGAAAUGUCUUGACAUUUAUGAUAUUUAUUUUGUUUGCCUAAUAUAACUGCAGUGCCAACUGCUGACAUAUAAACUGCUGGAUGAACUAAAUUAAUUUGACUUUGUGAAGACUGCCAUUUCUUGGUAAUGCAUAAUUAAUCCAAAUAUUUCUUUAGAAUUGCAACAUAAAUGCAAUUUAAUCUUUAUGAGGGAUUAUAUUCUUAAAUCCUAAGGGCAUUCCAAUAGGACUGCAAAAGUUCUAUGCUUUUCCAUGCUAAUGUAUCUUGCAAAGUGUAUACCUCCUGCCCAAUGAAUUAGACAUUUAAAUUAGAUAUACUCUUGUGGACUAAUAUUAUUUUUAAUAAGUAAAAUCUUUUAACUUCUGCUUUAGAAAAAAUAUUGGAUCAUUUCAAAACCUGUAAAGUGUAACCCAGGAAAGUACAUUUUCUCUGUACAUAAUUUUUGUGAUUUGUCAUGAAAAAUUUACAAAUGGAAACAAACAUUAAAAUGUAGAAUUAAAACUAUCUGCCCAACAGGAAUAAUUUCCAAUUUGGGCUUUUUAGCCGAUUGUUUCUUCUCAUUAGAAAUUCUAUUUUACUGUCUCUGCACUUUCCAUUUUUCUUUCUUAAUGUUCUGUGGCUACCCACUGUGGUAAAUUCUCAUUAAUCCUUAUUUUGUCUUGCCUCAUUAGAUUUUUCUAUUUGUGUUUCUACACAUUUUGCAAGCUGCACCCCACCACACACACUCUCAUUUCACCGUUGCCUCAUUUUGGCUCCAUUCUGAUUGGUCUUCAUAACCUGAAAUCAUUAUUAGAGGAAAUGAUUAAUUCUUCAAUAUAAAUGAUUCAACUGUUUAGAGGUGGAGAAUGAAAUAUUAUAUCACUAGUAUACAAUUUGUAAUUUAAUGACAAAUUAAAUUCAGAACAUUAACACAUAUUCAAAUUGUGACUGAUAUUUUAUCUGUGUUUCCUCUGAACAAACUAUAAGAGAAAAUCCUUACUCAAUAUAUAUUCCUGCCUUCCUAAUUUUUCUGAUUUUGCUAUAAGUAUAUGCAGUACUAUAAAUAGCACAGUAAUCAUCUCAUAAAUACAUGGCUUCCAAAAAUUAUUUAGAGACAGAUUUUUUUGAUAUUUCAGUUAUUACUUUAUCAUGCUACUUUCUGUUGUGGGAAGUUGUUGUUGUUGUUGUUUGUUUCUACCUUAUCUUUACAACCUUUUAAAAUGCUGAGAUUACUUUGCCUAGGAUGAACGACACCCAUGACAACUGGGAAGUUAUUUCAGGAUAGGUCUCUGUUUUUGAAUCUUGACAACAGAGCAAUGAUCUUAUUUUAAUUAUAAACCAGAUAGAUGAUGCUUAUCUUUUGUUCUACAGUGAGAUGAUUGGAUUCCCCUUUGCUCAUUGCUUUUUAAUAUUUUAAUAAUUGCACAAACUAAUCUAGGGACAGAAUCCCCUGUUACAAUGCUCCUUUAUUGAAAUAGGCACUAUACUGGUCCCUAUGGAAAGAUAAUGGGUUUCUGCAGAAGGUCAAGAUGGCAGUCACAGCAGUCAAAGCCCAUACAAAAGGAGUGGGGUUUUGAUGAUGCUCCUAUGACUGCCAUCCUUGACUUUCUUUCUUUUUUUUACCUUUCUGACCCCCGCACCCCGGUGGACCUCACCAGUAUUGACAAUGCACUCUGUCUACUUAGUUCUGAAUAUUACUAAGUGGAAGUCUACUCAAAAGUCAAUCCAUGAGUUCAGUUGGGAUUAUUUAAUUUUACUGUUAGGAGUUUAAUUUAGGAAUGAACGAUUCUUAUAUAUUUUUUUAUGUGGCUCAAUUGUUUUCUAGACUUAGUCCUUCUCUUUUAUUGUUGAGGUAAUAAAUCUGGGCUAUUUCAAAA
Notechis scutatus (mainland tiger snake) is the source of this 2785-nucleotide non-coding RNA. NCBI's taxonomy places the organism in Eukaryota, Metazoa, Chordata, Lepidosauria, Squamata, Elapidae. The record is from RefSeq and is a predicted model, not a curated record.